RNAcentral lists this ribozyme (66 nucleotides) under Aedes aegypti (yellow fever mosquito). RNAcentral's name for it is "drz-agam-1 ribozyme". It matches the Rfam family "drz-agam-1 ribozyme". Lineage: Eukaryota; Metazoa; Arthropoda; Insecta; Diptera; Culicidae. The record is from Rfam by way of RNAcentral.
UGCCCAGCAACUCCUAUCCCUACCUCCUCAUGGUACUGGCCGGGGUACCAGUAACCUUGGGGAAGA